CUCAACGGUGGAAUUGCAGGGCGAACUGCGAGUCUCGAGACAGGUAGGGGCCGUCGGAACGAUAGGUGGAGCGGUGAAAUGCGUAGAUAUCUAUCGGAACGCCAAAGGCGAAGGCAGACGGCUGGGCCUGUUCUGACGCUGAGGUACGAAAGCGUGGGGAGCGAACGGGAUUAGAUACCCCGGUAGUCCACGCCCUAAGCGAUGUGCACUAGGUCGUGGGAGGUUUGACCCUCUCUCGAUCGAAGCGAAAGUGAUUAGUGCACCGCCUGGGGAGUACGGUCGCAAGGCUAAAACUCAAAGGAAUUGACGGGGGCUCACACAAGCGGUGGAGCAUGUGGCUUAAUUCGAAGCAACGCGAAGAACCUUAUCCUGGGUUUGACAUGUAUGGAUUAACCCCGUGAAAGCGGGGCCACGCCUUCGGGUGGAACA
Molecule: ribosomal RNA, 429 nt
Filed under: uncultured bacterium
Lineage: Bacteria
Description: bacterial SSU rRNA
Rfam family: Bacterial small subunit ribosomal RNA
Source: RNAcentral